GACGAACGCUGGCGGCGUGCCUAAUACAUGCAAGUCGAGCGAAGUUUUUCUGGUGCUUGCACCGGAAAAACUUAGCGGCGAACGGGUGAGUAACACGUAAAGAACCUGCCUCAUAGACUGGGACAACUAUUGGAAACGAUAGCUAAUACCGGAUAACAGCAUUAACUGCAUGGUUGAUGUUUAAAAGUUGGUUUUGCUAACACUAUGAGAUGGCUUUGCGGUGCAUUAGCUAGUUGGUGGGGUAAAGGCCUACCAAGGCGACGAUGCAUAGCCGACCUGAGAGGGUGAUCGGCCACACUGGGACUGAGACACGGCCCAGACUCCUACGGGAGGCAGCAGUAGGGAAUCCUCCGCAAUGGGCGAAAGCCUGACGGAGCAACGCCGCGUGAGUGAAGAAGGAUUUCGGUUCGUAAAGCUCUGUUGUUAGGGAAGAAUGAUUGUGUAGUAACUAUACACA
Molecule: ribosomal RNA, 457 nt
Filed under: Gemella haemolysans
Lineage: Bacteria; Bacillati; Bacillota; Bacilli; Caryophanales; Gemellaceae
Description: bacterial SSU rRNA
Rfam family: Bacterial small subunit ribosomal RNA
Source: RNAcentral